GCGCUCGUGGCGGAAUUGGUAUACGCGUAUGGUCCAGACCCAUAUGCCCGCAUGGGCGUGAGAGUUCGAAUCUCUCCGAGCGCA
This 84-nucleotide transfer RNA is filed under the name Actinomycetota bacterium. RNAcentral's name for it is "Actinobacteria bacterium tRNA-Leu". It matches the Rfam family "tRNA". Rfam says of the family: Transfer RNA (tRNA) molecules are approximately 80 nucleotides in length. Their secondary structure includes four short double-helical elements and three loops (D, anti-codon, and T loops). The record is from RNAcentral. Lineage: Bacteria; Bacillati; Actinomycetota.